This 253-nucleotide ribosomal RNA is filed under the name uncultured bacterium. RNAcentral describes it as "partial 16S ribosomal RNA". It matches the Rfam family "Bacterial small subunit ribosomal RNA", at positions 524 to 776 of the family's 1533-position model. The record is from RNAcentral.
GACAGAGGUGGCGAGCGUUGUCCGGAGUUACUGGGCGUAAAGGGCGCGGAGGCGGUCUGCGGCGUCGGCGCUGAAAGCGCCCCGCUUAACGGGGCGAGGCGUGCCGAUACGCGCAGACUUGAGGCGAGCAGAGGGUGGUGGAAUUCCGGGUGGAGCGGUGAAAUGCGUAGAGAUCCGGAGGAACGCCAGUGGGGAAGCCGGCCACCUGGGCUCGUCCUGACGCUGCGGCGCGACAGCGUGGGGCGCAAACCGG